UCCGAACUUCUCCAAUCAUGAGCUUCUCCAUUCAUCUACCGGACUACUCCAAACACUCUCUGAACUUCACUUUCAACCGAUUCUCUACAUUGGUCGACUAUUCUCCAAUCCCUUUCAGACUUCUCCCAGCCACGAUCGGCCUGACUCCGAACUCCUUCCGAGCUUCGUCGACGUCCGAACUUCCCCAACAACAGCACUUCUACAGUAGCCAGACUCCAUCCAAAUUUCUACGACGGUCGACCACCUUCCGAAUUUCACCCGAGCUCCAAUGAGGGC
Molecule: long non-coding RNA, 276 nt
Filed under: Elaeis guineensis (African oil palm)
Lineage: Eukaryota; Viridiplantae; Streptophyta; Magnoliopsida; Arecales; Arecaceae
Description: long non-coding RNA (EGUI_LNC063088)
Source: RNAcentral